Molecule: ribosomal RNA, 464 nt
Filed under: uncultured bacterium
Lineage: Bacteria
Description: bacterial SSU rRNA
Rfam family: Bacterial small subunit ribosomal RNA
Source: RNAcentral
AGAGUUGAUCCUGGCUUAGACGAACGCUGGCGGCAGGCCUAACACAUGCAAGUCGAGCGCGCCCUUCGGGGUGAGCGGCGGACGGGUUAGUAACGCGUGGGAACGUACCCUUUGGUAGGGAAUAGCCACUGGAAACGGUGAGUAAUACCCUAUGAGCCCUUCGGGGGGAAAGAUUUAUCGCCAAAGGAUCGGCCGCGUUAGAUUAGGUAGUUGGUGGGGUAAUGGCCUACCAAGCCUACGAUCUAUAGCUGGUUUUAGAGGAUGAUCAGCAACACUGGGACUGAGACACGGCUCAGACUCCUACGGGAGGCAGCAGUGGGGAAUCUUGGACAAUGGGGGGCAACCCUGAAUCCAGCCAUGCCGCGUGAGUGAAGAAGGCCUUAGGGUCGUAAAGCUCUUUCGCCUGUGAAGAUAAUGACGGUAGCAGGUAAAGAAACCCCGGCUAACUCCGUGCCAGCCGCCGC